RNAcentral lists this ribosomal RNA (864 nucleotides) under uncultured archaeon. Its description in RNAcentral is "SSU rRNA". It matches the Rfam family "Archaeal small subunit ribosomal RNA", at positions 474 to 1337 of the family's 1478-position model. The record is from RNAcentral.
AACCAGCACCUCAAGUGGUCAGGAUGAUUAUUGGGCCUAAAGCAUCCGUAGCCGGCUCUGUAAGUUUUCGGUUAAAUCUGUACGCUCAACGUACAGGCUGCCGGGAAUACUGCAGAGCUAGGUAGUGGGAGAGGUAGACGGUACUCGGUAGGAAGGGGUAAAAUCCUUUGAUCUAUUGAUGACCACCUGUGGCGAAGGCGGUCUACCAGAACACGUACGACGGUGAGGGAUGAAAGCUGGGGGAGCAAACCGGAUUAGAUACCCGGGUAGUCCCAGCUGUAAACUAUGCAAACUCAGUGAUGCAUUGGCUUGUGGCCAAUGCAGUGCUGCAGGGAAGCCGUUAAGUUUGCCGCCUGGGAAGUACGUACGCAAGUAUGAAACUUAAAGGAAUUGGCGGGGGAGCACCACAAGGGGUGAAGCCUGCGGUUCAAUUGGAGUCAACGCCAGAAAUCUUACCCGGAGAGACAGCAGAAUGAAGGUCAAGCUGAAGACUUUACCAGACAAGCUGAGAGGUGGUGCAUGGCCGUCGCCAGCUCGUGCCGUGAGAUGUCCUGUUAAGUCAGGUAACGAGCGAGAUCCCUGCCUCUAGUUGCCACCAUUACUCUCAGGAGUAGUGGGGCGAAUUAGCGGGACCGCUGCAGUUAAUGCGGAGGAAGGAAGGGGCCACGGCAGGUCAGUAUGCCCCGAAACUCUGGGGCCACACGCGGGCUGCAAUGGUAACGACAAUGGGUUUCGAAUUCGAAAGGAUGAGGUAAUCCUCAAACGUUACCACAGUUAUGACUGAGGGCUGCAACUCGCCCUCACGAAUAUGGAAUCCCUAGUAACUGCGUGUCACUAUCGCGCGGUGAAUACGUCCCUGCUCAU